This 296-nucleotide long non-coding RNA is filed under the name Mytilus galloprovincialis (Mediterranean mussel). The record is from RNAcentral. Lineage: Eukaryota; Metazoa; Mollusca; Bivalvia; Mytilida; Mytilidae.
AGUUGACAUUGUCUUUGACUUGCUUUUAGUGACUGCUAGUACUCUUAGAUCUUCACUUUGUGUUUUUUUCUUGUCUUUUUGUUGUUUUAGUUAUGCUUUGUGCCGAUAUGAUGCCAUGAUUAUAGGAUAUUAAAACCUAUAAGUGAUUUUUCAAAUGUUAUGCGAACACAUCGAUAUCACUCCCAUGUUAGGAUUUGGGUUGUGGCAUAUUUAACCCUACCACAUUCUGUAUGUGCCUUUCUCAAGCAUGUAAGCCAACGACUGUCGUUAUUUGUUCUACAGCAUAUGUUUUUCGC